RNAcentral lists this ribosomal RNA (253 nucleotides) under uncultured bacterium. Its description in RNAcentral is "partial 16S ribosomal RNA". It matches the Rfam family "Bacterial small subunit ribosomal RNA", at positions 524 to 776 of the family's 1533-position model. The record is from RNAcentral.
UACGUAGGGGGCAAGCGUUAUCCGGAUUUACUGGGUGUAAAGGGAGCGUAGACGGCAGCGCAAGUCUGGAGUGAAAUGCCGGGGCCCAACCCCGGAACUGCUUUGGAAACUGUGCAGCUCGAGUGCAGGAGAGGUAAGCGGAAUUCCUAGUGUAGCGGUGAAAUGCGUAGAUAUUAGGGGGAACACCAGUGGCGAAGGCGGCUUACUGGACUGUAACUGACGUUGAGGCUCGAAAGCGUGGGGAGCAAACAGG